AAAUCUGCUGUCAGUUGUCGCUGAUAGUCAUAAAGAUCCUGACGCUCUUUCAGUUUCUGUUCAGAAUGUGUAACUUCUCAACGAUCUUGGAAUGAAUUAGGACUUGCAUAAGCUGCCUACAGCAUAGAUCAGAUCAAGAGUAGCACUCCGGAUAUAUUGAUGGUAAUAGCACCUUCUGAGCUGCCUCUUCCCUCAGUUGAUGACCAGAGUGUUUGAGACAUCAACAAAGGAGACGGAGUCCCUCUUCUUUGAUGAUUUGAUUUCGGAGUAUCCAUCAAGAAGGCCCUGUAAAAAUGAUGCCCUGUAAAAAUCUCCCUUUCUUUUAGAGAAGGGGUUGGAAAAUAAGGCUAAAACUUCUUAAUAUAUGAUAUCAGAAUCCCAAAUAUGGAACUUAUUGUUCCUGAAACUUGAGGAUAUAGUUCAGGCUCAUCAACUACAAUUCAAGGGCAAACUCAUUUUCCAGUCACUGGGCUGAGCGAACCUUUGGUACUUCAGUAGGGUGAGCUGUUUGAUAGUGACUUCUUUCGUUUGUUGAGGCGACGAAAGGCUACUUCAAUCUAGGAAACAGCCGGAACCUCAAGAGGAUUCGCCUUUGGAGAAGCGUUUGCCGAUAACCAAAGUCUCGCUCUGAUUAUUUUCGUGAGGCUGAUUGUGGAACUAACACUCAGGGCUGCAAAUUCACAGAACAAAACAUGAGAAAAGAACAGUGUCCAAGUUUCAACAUAAGAGAACAAACUAGAAAGUUUAAAGUUCCUGUUUCUUUCCCCUUUCUUUUUGGUUGUUAUAAUAUAAUAUAGGUUCUUGAUUAUUAUUACCUUAUGCAGAUGGAAGCUUGCUGGUAGCCGGUGGCCGGCUGGCCGGUUAGAUAUUACAAAGGUUUUGGAUAUCUAACACUGGUGAUUAAAGAAAACAAUAAGAUUUAGUUUGAAUAAAAACAAGAAAAGAAACAGAAA
Long non-coding RNA from Lycium ferocissimum, 953 nucleotides. RefSeq lists it as uncharacterized. NCBI's taxonomy places the organism in Eukaryota, Viridiplantae, Streptophyta, Magnoliopsida, Solanales, Solanaceae. The transcript has 3 exons. The record is from RefSeq and is a predicted model, not a curated record.